RNAcentral lists this transfer RNA (65 nucleotides) under Echeneibothrium williamsi. Its description in RNAcentral is "tRNA-Phe". Lineage: Eukaryota; Metazoa; Platyhelminthes; Cestoda; Rhinebothriidea; Echeneibothriidae. The record is from RNAcentral.
UUUUCUUUAGCUUAAGUUUAAAGCGUCAGUUUGAAGCACUGGAGAUAAUUUUUGGUUAAGGCGGU